This 550-nucleotide ribosomal RNA is filed under the name uncultured fungus. RNAcentral's name for it is "eukaryotic LSU rRNA". The stretch from base 97 to 251 matches the Rfam family "5.8S ribosomal RNA". The record is from RNAcentral. Lineage: Eukaryota; Fungi.
UUCAAAUACAUCUUUGUGUNNAAAGUCNUUGAAUGUUUUAUUAUCAUAGAGUCACGACUUCUAGGAGACGUGNNNCUAAGAGUUAAAAGUUAUUACAACUUUCAGCAAUGGAUCUCUUGGCUCUCGCAUCGAUGAAGAACGCAGCGAAAAGCGAUAUGUAAUGUGAAUUGCAGAUCUACAGUGAAUCAUCGAAUCUUUGAACGCACCUUGCGCUCCUUGGUAUUCCGAGGAGCAUGCCUGUUUGAGUGUCAGUAAUUUCUCAACCCCUUUUGAUUANAUUCAAGAGGGAGCUUGGAUAGUGGGGGUCUGCUGGAGACUUGGGCUUUUGUCUGAGAUUCGAGCUCUCCUGAAAUGCAUCGGCUUGCGGUCGACCUUCGACUUUGCGUGAAAAGGCUUUUGGCGUGAUAAUGAUCGUCAUGUGCUGAAGCGCANAAAGUCAAGGCUUCAUGUCCGUGCCUCUAAUACGUCGACCCUCUCUUCUGAGGGGUCUUCCUUAUUGACUUUUUGACCUCAAAUCAGGUAGGACUACCCGCUGAACUUAAGCAUAUCA